UCUCUGUUAGUAUAUCGGUUAGUACACGCGCCUGUCAUGUGUAAGACCGCGCGAAAGCGGGGUUCGACUCCCCGACAGAGAG
RNAcentral lists this transfer RNA (82 nucleotides) under Polyporus arcularius HHB13444. Its description in RNAcentral is "tRNA-Asp". It matches the Rfam family "tRNA". Rfam says of the family: Transfer RNA (tRNA) molecules are approximately 80 nucleotides in length. Their secondary structure includes four short double-helical elements and three loops (D, anti-codon, and T loops). The record is from RNAcentral. Lineage: Eukaryota; Fungi; Basidiomycota; Agaricomycetes; Polyporales; Polyporaceae.